RNAcentral lists this ribosomal RNA (422 nucleotides) under uncultured bacterium. RNAcentral's name for it is "partial 16S ribosomal RNA". It matches the Rfam family "Bacterial small subunit ribosomal RNA", at positions 360 to 774 of the family's 1533-position model. The record is from RNAcentral.
AAUAUUGGACAAUGGGCGAAAGCCUGAUCCAGCCAUGCCGCGUGUGUGAAGAAGGUCUUCGGAUUGUAAAACACUUUACGUUGGGAGGAAGGUCAUUAAGUGAAUACUUUGCUGUUUUUACGUUACCGGCAUCAUCAGCCCCGGCUAACUUCGUGGCAGUAGCCGCGGUAAUACGAAGGGUGGAAGCGUUAAUCGGAAUUACUGGGCAUAAAGCGCGCGUAGGUGGUUUGUUAAGUUGGAAGUGAAAGCCCCGGGCUCAACCUGGGAACUGCUUUCAAAACUGGCAAGCUAGAGUAUGGCAGAGGGUGGUGGAAUUUCCUGUGUAGCGGUGAAAUGCGUAGAUAUAGGAAGGAACACCAGUGGCGAAGGCGACCACCUGGGCUAAUACUGACACUGAGGUGCGAAAGCGUGGGGAGCAAACA